CGCGGUAAUACGUAGGGCGCAAGCGUUAUCCGGAAUUAUUGGGCGUAAAGAGCUCGUAGGCGGUUUGUCGCGUCUGCCGUGAAAGUCCGGGGCUCAACUCCGGAUCUGCGGUGGGUACGGGCAGACUAGAGUGAUGUAGGGGAGACUGGAAUUCCUGGUGUAGCGGUGAAAUGCGCAGAUAUCAGGAGGAACACCGAUGGCGAAGGCAGGUCUCUGGGCAUUAACUGACGCUGAGGAGCGAAAGCAUGGGGAGCGAACAGGAUUAGAUACCCUGGUAGUCCAUGCCGUAAACGUUGGGCACUAGGUGUGGGGGACAUUCCACGUUUUCCGCGCCGUAGCUAACGCAUUAAGUGCCCCGCCUGGGGAGUACGGCCGCAAGGCUAAAACUCAAAGGAAUUGACGGGGGCCCGCACAAGCGGCGGAGCAUGCGGAUUAAUUCGAUGCAACGCGAAGAACCUUACCAAGGCUUGACAUGGACUGGAUCGCUGCAGAAAUGUGGUUUCCCCUUUGGGGCUGGUUCACAGGUGGUGCAUGGUUGUCGUCAGCUCGUGUCGUGAGAUGUUGGGUUAAGUCCCGCAACGAGCGCAACCCUCGUUCUAUGUUGCCAGCGCGUUAUGGCGGGGACUCAUAGGAGACUGCCGGGGUCAACUCGGAGGAAGGUGGGGACGACGUCAAAUCAUCAUGCCCCUUAUGUCUUGGGCUUCACGCAUGCUACAAUGGCCGGUACAAAGGGUUGCGAUACUGUGAGGUGGAGCUAAUCCCAAAAAGCCGGUCUCAGUUCGGAUUGGGGUCUGCAACUCGACCCCAUGAAGUCGGAGUCGCUAGUAAUCGCAGAUCAGCAACGCUGCGGUGAAUACGUUCCCGGGCCUUGUACACACCGCCCGUCAAGUCACGAAAGUUGGUAACACCCGAAGCCGGUGGCCU
This 924-nucleotide ribosomal RNA is filed under the name Arthrobacter sp. Its description in RNAcentral is "bacterial SSU rRNA". It matches the Rfam family "Bacterial small subunit ribosomal RNA", at positions 516 to 1436 of the family's 1533-position model. Lineage: Bacteria; Bacillati; Actinomycetota; Actinomycetes; Micrococcales; Micrococcaceae. The record is from RNAcentral.